ACAACUUUCAACAACGGAUCUCUUGGCUCUCGCAUCGAUGAAGAACGCAGCGAAAUGCGAUAAGUAAUGUGAAUUGCAGAAUUCAGUGAAUCAUCGAAUCUUUGAACGCACCUUGCGCCCCUUGGUAUUCCGAGGGGCAUGCCUGUU
RNAcentral lists this ribosomal RNA (147 nucleotides) under Pleurotus eryngii. Its description in RNAcentral is "5.8S ribosomal RNA". It matches the Rfam family "5.8S ribosomal RNA". From Rfam's summary of the family: 5.8S ribosomal RNA (5.8S rRNA) is a component of the large subunit of the eukaryotic ribosome. The record is from RNAcentral. Lineage: Eukaryota; Fungi; Basidiomycota; Agaricomycetes; Agaricales; Pleurotaceae.